GUCCACGCCGUAAACGAUGGAUACUAGCUGUUGGGCGCAAGUUCAGUGGCUAAGCGAAAGUGAUAAGUAUCCCACCUGGGGAGUACGUUCGCAAGAAUGAAACUCAAAGGAAUUGACGGGGCCCGCACAAGCGGUGGAGCAUGUGGUUUAAUUCGAUGAUACGCGAGGAACCUUACCAAGGCUUAAAUGCAGACUGACCGAUUUGGAAACAGAUCUUUCGCAAGACAGUUUACAAGGUGCUGCAUGGUUGUCGU
RNAcentral lists this ribosomal RNA (254 nucleotides) under uncultured bacterium. RNAcentral's name for it is "partial 16S ribosomal RNA". It matches the Rfam family "Bacterial small subunit ribosomal RNA", at positions 793 to 1055 of the family's 1533-position model. The record is from RNAcentral.